RNAcentral lists this ribosomal RNA (492 nucleotides) under uncultured bacterium. Its description in RNAcentral is "partial 16S ribosomal RNA". It matches the Rfam family "Bacterial small subunit ribosomal RNA", at positions 29 to 507 of the family's 1533-position model. The record is from RNAcentral.
AGUGAACGCUGGCGGUAGGCCUAACACAUGCAAGUCGAACGGCAGCACAGUAAUAGCUUGCUCUUACGGGUGGCGAGUGGCGGACGGGUGAGGAAUACAUCGGAAUCUACUUUUUCUUGGGGGAUAACGUAGGGAAACUUACGCUAAUACCGCAUACGACCUACGGGUGAAAGCAGGGGAUCUUCGGCCCUUGCGCGGUUGAAUGAGCCGAUGUCGGAUUAGCUAGUUGGCGGGGUAAAGGCCCACCAAGGCGACGAUCCGUAGCUGGUCUGAGAGGAUGAUCAGCCACACUGGAACUGAGACACGGUCCAGACUCCUACGGGAGGCAGCAGUGGGGAAUAUUGGACAAUGGGCGCAAGCCUGAUCCAGCCAUGCCGCGUGGGUGAAGAAGGCCUUCGGGUUGUAAAGCCCUUUUGUUGGGAAAGAAAAGCAGCAGGUUAAUACCCCGCUGUUCUGACGGUACCCAAAGAAUAAGCACCGGCUAACUUCGUG